GACGAACGCUGGCGGCGUGCUUAACACAUGCAAGUCGAACGGUGAGGCGCCUUCCUUUUUGGUGGGUGUGGAUGAGUGGCGAACGGGUGAGUAACACGUGAGAAACCUGCCCCCUUCUUCUGGAUAACCGCAUGAAAGGGUGGCUAAUACAGGAUAUUCUGGGUCUGUCGCAUGAUGGGUCUUGGAAAGAUAUUGUUUCGGUGGGGGAUGGGCUCGCGGCCUAUCAGCUUGUUGGUGGGGGGAUGGCCUACCAAGGAAGUGACAGGUAGCCGGCCUGGGAGGGUGGACGGUCAGACUGGGACUGAGACACCGCACAGCCUCGUAAGGGAGGCAGCAGGGGGGAAUAGUGAACAAUGGGCGCAAGCCUGAUGCAGCGACGGCGAGUGAGGGAUGGAGGCCGUCGGGUUGGGAACCUCUUUCGCCAGUGAAGCAGGCCUGCCUCGUUUGUGGGUGGGUUGACGGUAGCUGGAUAAGAAGCGCCGGCUAACUACGUG
RNAcentral lists this ribosomal RNA (494 nucleotides) under uncultured bacterium. Its description in RNAcentral is "partial 16S ribosomal RNA". It matches the Rfam family "Bacterial small subunit ribosomal RNA", at positions 28 to 507 of the family's 1533-position model. The record is from RNAcentral.